UUUAAUCCAUUUUUUAAUAGAGAGUCUAUGAUACCAAUAUUUUUUGCGCUAGAAUAUUGGAUACUUGUGGUUUUGAUGAAGGUAGAAUCAGUUACACUAGGACAAAAUAAAAUAAUAGAAUACAUAUGCCUAUGCUUGUUUGUUUGUUUUCAGAACAAUUAAAUGUUAUGGUUCUCAACAAUUUUGUGAUCUGUAAAUUGCGUGUUGUAGUUUACACUUUAAUUGCAAUAUAGACCUUUGGCAUUUAAAUUCAUUCUCAUUUGGGUUUGGUUCUUCCACUGUACUCAGCAGUCAGAUACUCUCCCUACCUAUAUGUGUGCAUAGUUUUGUAGCAUUACUAUUUUAAAACUAUCGGAUAUGUUGUUAUUCAUUCUGAUGUGCCAUAGACCUGGCAUUUUAUAUGAGAUGGUUCAUCCUCUCUUGGUCAUGUCUUUACCGUUGCUUCUGUAAUGGACAGGCUACAGUCAUCAGUAGUAACAUAGUUGACUCUUUCUUAAAAGGUGUCUAGAUAUUUAAGUCAUCACAUGAAGAAGAUUUUCUUUGUUCAAAUCUGUGUUAGCAUAAUAUUUUGUAUUAAUUAUAUCUCAUCUAUCCAUCUAUUAGAUUUUUAUGGAGUAUUUUUUUUGUUUCAUAUAUAUAAGUUAUACUCUGAUUGGUUGUCUACAAAAUGGUUAGAAAUCUUAAAGCAAUCUUGCUAAUAUUAUACAAGUUGUCAUCAAAGGUGUUGAACACGUACCAGAGUUGGUUGCUUCUUCUAACAAAAACAUCCAGAAAAGUGGAGCAUGCCAGUUGAAUGACGGAUUCCUCACUGUUCAUAUUGCUGGACAAUACAAGAGCAUAUAGAGGAGUGUGCUAUAGUUUUCACUGCUUCAACAUCCAUCAAGCUGGCCUAACAUCUAGGUUAGUUGCUUUAUCUAUUGUCUGAAAAUGUCUCAACAAUUAGCAAUUUGGCAUCUGUAUAAUACUAUUGACCAGUGGAGGAGGUGAAACUUUGGCAAUGAAAAAAGGAAGGGAGAGGCUAAGGUACUGCUGAAUUGGUUUCAUGUGGAUUAUUUUCUUUGUCUUCUGCUACUUCUGAAUAUCGAAAUUGUUCUAGGCGAGAUGCAUUUUCUAGAGAUAUGCGAUCUUUUUAACCUCUUUUCUUGUAUCUGAUAUGAUCAUUUUAAUUUCUUACUCUGAACUAUAAUAGGUUUAUUGACAAUAUCAAAGGUACUAAGCUACUGUGUAAGUCAGAUUGCACUAUUGUGUAGCCUCCCCUGAAUGAGUCCGGCAAACUGGGAAGAUAUUGAUGAAAUACAACGUGCUAGAUCUUCCACAAUAAAGAGAUAAUGUAUAUAUAUGACUAAAACAGUGCUUGGAUUGUGCUUGUUGUGACCUUGCCUGUUCAUAGAAGUUGCAUGAACAAAGGUGUUCAAUUUAGUGAAGCAUCAACUUCAGUGUUUAGAGAAGAGGAACAA
This is a long non-coding RNA of Lolium rigidum, 1457 nucleotides long. RefSeq lists it as uncharacterized. The transcript has 3 exons. The record is from RefSeq and is a predicted model, not a curated record. Lineage: Eukaryota; Viridiplantae; Streptophyta; Magnoliopsida; Poales; Poaceae.